GGGGGGUAAGAAUUUCCACGUGUAGCAGUGAAAUGCGUUAGAGAUGUGGAGGGAAUACCGAUGGCGAAGGCAGCCCCUGGGCCAAAUACUGACGCUCAUGCAGAAAGCGUGGGGAGCAAACAGGAUUAGAUACCGUGGUAGUCCACGCCCUAAACGAUGUCAACUAGUUGUUGGGGAUUCAUUUCCUUAGUAACGUAGCUACGCGUGAAGUUGACCGCCUGGGGAGUACGGUCGCAAGAUUAAAACUCAAAGGAAUUGACGGGGACCCGCACAAGCGGUGGAUGAUGUGGAUUAAUUCGAUGCAACGCAAAAAACCUUACCUACCCUUGACAUGGUCGGAACCCUGGUGAGAGCUGGGGGUGCUCGAAAGAGAACCGACACACAGGUGCUGCAUGGCUGUCGUCAGCUCGUGUCGUGAGAUGUUGGGUUAAGUCCCGCAACGAGCGCAACCCUUGUCCUUAGUUGCUACGCAAGAGCACUCUAAGGAGACUGCCGGUGACAAACCGGAGGAAGGUGGGGAUGACGUCAAGUCCUCAUGGCCCUUAUGGGUAGGGCUUCACACGUCAUACAAUGGUCGGAACAGAGGGUCGCUAAGCCGCGAGGUGGAGCCAAUCCCAGAAAACCGAUCGUAGUCCGGAUCGUAGUCUGCAACUCGACUACGUGAAGCUGGAAUCGCUGGUAAUCGCGGAUCAGCAUGCCGCGGUGAAUACGUUCCCGGGUCUUGUACACACCGCCCGUCACACCAUGGGAGUGGGUUUUACCAGAAGUGGCUAGUCUAACGCAAGGAGGACGGUCACCACGGUAGGAU
Molecule: ribosomal RNA, 808 nt
Filed under: bacterium enrichment culture clone L24D20
Lineage: Bacteria
Description: bacterial SSU rRNA
Rfam family: Bacterial small subunit ribosomal RNA
Source: RNAcentral